Molecule: long non-coding RNA, 1349 nt
Organism: Paramormyrops kingsleyae
Lineage: Eukaryota; Metazoa; Chordata; Actinopteri; Osteoglossiformes; Mormyridae
Source: RefSeq, a predicted model, not a curated record
GAUGGUAGUACCCAUGUCUAACUAUUGCUAUCACUGUCUGUAGGCUAUGCAGAUGGAUCUCUUUUAUUAGACAGGCUCUGCAUCACUUUUUCAUUUCAAUUUGGACUGGGCAAAGUUUUUGACAACUUGAAAAACUGAAGUCUUACAAGACAAGCUCCCAACAGUAGUUCAGGAAUGAAAAAUGCACAUUCUUCCCUGAUACUUAAAUGUCUUACUUGGUGAAAAGUCAAUAGUGUUUUUGGGACAUCAAGUCAAAGUCAUUCUAACUUAUCAAACCUUGCUUAGUCAUGUGGUGAUGCAACAUUCUCCAAAGCCCACUUUUACAGUAUAUGGCUCCUGCACUAUAGUUAUAGUAAGCAAACGGGCUGUCAGUUUUUACAAUGAGAUCAAUCUAGAGUAAAUGUGAACUGGCUGGAAAUCCAAGUUUUAGGUAUCCAGUCAAGUGGUUUCCAUUUUGCUGCACAGCUCCUGAUGCAUGCCCUGAAUAUUAAACGCUCACCCAUUUAGUUGGUGCUUUUGUCCAAAGCAACACCCACGUUUGAGAAGGCAGGGUCACAAGGGCCUCAGUCAAGAAGCACAGCACUUUAGCAGAGGAUGGUUUCGAUCCAUCGGCCUCUGGGUUAUGGGCCCAGCAGGCUUCCACUGCGCCACUCUGCUCCAUAAAGAAGUUGGCAAUCUGAAGAGACAGACUUGACGUGCAUCAUGAGAGCAAAAUGAACGCUUAGCUUGUUACUGUGGUGCCCGAAGAGGCAUGAAAGGUAUCUGGGGAUACUCUGUGGUGGAAGCCUGCCAUGACGAUAUCAGACGCUCUUCUUGGUUUGGCUCCAUGAUGGAGAGGCGUAGACGUGCAGAGGACGUCAACUUCAUGACAAUGUCCUUCUCUUCGGGGCAGGAGCAGGGCCGACGAGGACAGGAAACACAGCUUGUCUCCACGGUGCCGAGAUGGACUACAGUGGUAUCAAAGGAGAGCCAGCUUUCUUUGAGGGGCAAACUGCUUGCCUAGGGUCACACAGGAGGGUGUCUCAGGAGGAGCUGCGGAGGAGAAGCGGCAGAAAGUUGGGACUUUAGGGGAAUUUGUCUUAGAUAAAGGAGCCCUUCUGUCCUGACUGCCUCCUGAAUACAGUUAAUGAACAGUUCAUUGACAGUCUGGUAGCUUGGAAUCAGUAGCUCAGAUAAUAUGGCUAUAAAGGCAAUUUGCAGCCCUCUUUACAUAUAUUUUAACUUUUAAUUUCAUUUCAUUUCAAUUGCCUGAAUUUUGUCUUUAUACAUUAAUUGUUAUUGAUUUUUAAAUUGUUUAAAGAGGUUAAUUUCCUUCCUGAAAUGGGCUGCUUGUGCAGUUAACAUUUAAU